Molecule: ribosomal RNA, 833 nt
Filed under: Hypoxylon perforatum
Lineage: Eukaryota; Fungi; Ascomycota; Sordariomycetes; Xylariales; Hypoxylaceae
Description: partial large subunit ribosomal RNA
Rfam family: Eukaryotic large subunit ribosomal RNA
Source: RNAcentral
GGGAUUGCCCUAGUAACGGCGAGUGAAGCGGCAACAGCUCAAAUUUGAAAUCUGGCCCUCGGGUCCGAAUUGUAAUUUGUAGAGGAUGCUUUUGGUGCGGUGCCUUCCGAGUUCCCUGGAACGGGACGCCAGAGAGGGUGAGAGCCCCGUACGGUUGGACACCUACCCUAUAUAUAGCUCCUUCGACGAGUCGAGUAGUUUGGGAAUGCUGCUCUAAAUGGGAGGUAAAUUUCUUCUAAAGCUAAAUACCGGCCAGAGACCGAUAGCGCACAAGUAGAGUGAUCGAAAGAUGAAAAGCACUUUGAAAAGAGGGUUAAAUAGCACGUGAAAUUGUUGAAAGGGAAGCGUUUGUGACCAGACUUUUUCCUGGCGGAUCAUCCGGUGUUCUCACCGGUGCACUUCGCCUGGUUUAGGCCAGCAUCGGUUUCCGGAGGGGGAUAAAAGCCUGGGGCAUGUGGCUCUUUCGGGAGUGUUAUAGCCCCUCGCAUAAUACCUCUCCUGGGGACCGAGGACCGCGCUUCGGCAAGGAUGCUGGCGUAAUGGUUAUCAACGACCCGUCUUGAAACACGGACCAAGGAGUCGAACAUUUGUGCGAGUGUUUGGGUAUCAAACCCUCACGCGUAAUGAAAGUGAACGGAGGUGAGAGCCCCUCGGGGUGCAUCAUCGACCGAUCCUGAUGUCUUCGGAUGGAUUUGAGUAAGAGCAUAACUGUUCGGACCCGAAAGAUGGUGAACUAUGCGUGGAUAGGGUGAAGCCAGAGGAAACUCUGGUGGAGGCUCGCAGCGGUUCUGACGUGCAAAUCGAUCGUCAAAUCUGCGCAUGGGGGCGAAAGA